This 431-nucleotide ribosomal RNA is filed under the name uncultured bacterium. RNAcentral describes it as "bacterial SSU rRNA". It matches the Rfam family "Bacterial small subunit ribosomal RNA", at positions 338 to 783 of the family's 1533-position model. The record is from RNAcentral.
CCUACGGGGGGCAGCAGUGGGGAAUAUUGGUCAAUGGAGGAAACUCUGAACCAGCAACGCCGCGUGAAUGAUGAAGGUCUUCGGAUUGUAAAGUUCUUUUCUAAGGGAAGAAGAUAGUGACGGUACCUUAGGAAUAAGCCUCGGCUAACUACGUGCCAGCAGCCGCGGUAAUACGUAGGAGGCAAGCGUUAUCCGGAAUGACUGGGCGUAAAGGGUGCGUAGGUGGUUUGGCAAGUUAGUAGCGUAACCCCGGGGCUCAACCUCGGAACUACUACUAAAACUGUCGGACUUGAGUGCAGGAGGGGCAAUUGGAAUUCCUAGUGUAGCGGUGGAAUGCGUAGAUAUUAGGAGGAACACCAGUGGCGAAGGCGAAUUGCUGGACUGUAACUGACACUGAGGCACGAAAGCGUGGGGAGCAAACAGGAUUAGAU